Molecule: ribosomal RNA, 775 nt
Filed under: uncultured Neocallimastigales
Lineage: Eukaryota; Fungi; Neocallimastigomycota; Neocallimastigomycetes; Neocallimastigales
Description: partial large subunit ribosomal RNA
Rfam family: Eukaryotic large subunit ribosomal RNA
Source: RNAcentral
CGAGCACGCGCGUGUGGCAUAUCAAUAAGCGGAGGAAAAGAAACUAACAAGGAUUCCCUUAGGUAACGGCGAGUGAAGCGGGAAGAGCUCAAAUUUGAAAUCUUCAAGGUUCUACCUUGACGAAUUGUAGUUUAUAGAAGUGUUUUCUGUUAGUGAGUUGGCUAAAAGUUCUUUGGAAUAGGACAUCAUAGAGGGUGAGAAUCCCGUAUUUGGUCAUUCCUCCUAGCGUUGUGAUACACUUUCAACGAGUCGGAUUGUUUGGGAAUGCAGUCCAAAAUGGGUGGUAAAUUUCAUCUAAAGCUAAAUAUUGGCGAGAGACCGAUAGCGAACAAGUACCGUGAGGGAAAGAUGAAAAGAACUUUGAAAAGAGAGUUAAACAGUACGUGAAAUUGUCAAAAGGGAAGCGUUUGACACCAGUGUUGUUUUUCCGAAAAUCAAUUACGAAUGUUUUGUUUUUGAGGAGUUAUGACUUCAUCGGCUUGCUCCUUUCUUUAUGAAACUUUCUUAAUGCACUUUUCGGUUAACAGGUCAACAUCAAUUUCUUUUGUUGUAAAGGGUAUGAGGAAGGUGGCUUUCUUUUCGGAGAAAGUGUUUAUAGCCUUGUGCCUCUGCAAUCGGAGAGAUUGAGGUCUGCAGCGUAGAUCCUUCGGGGUUAGAUACAUUUGUGCUAAGUUAUAGCUUUUCAUAGACAACUUGUUGACUAUGUUUAGUCUUGUAGCUUACUCGCUUAUGCUAUUUUACCUACGCUUAGGAUGUUGAUGUGAUACUGCGAGCA